Molecule: long non-coding RNA, 568 nt
Organism: Hordeum vulgare subsp. vulgare (domesticated barley)
Lineage: Eukaryota; Viridiplantae; Streptophyta; Magnoliopsida; Poales; Poaceae
Exons: 2
Source: RefSeq, a predicted model, not a curated record
GAGGCGGUGGAGUCGGCCAGGUCGCUGCUGAGGAAGUACGAUAACGGGUGGGAGAUGUCCACGGCGGCGGCGGCGACGGGAUCACGGGAGGCGGCGGCGCCGUGGCACUGCGAUGGAAAGGGCAGCCGGUGUCCUUCUGCUCGCUGUGGCGGCCGGCGUAGCAGCGGCAGCUGAGCUGGGAUACCGACGUCACGUCAUGGUUUUGAUGGCGACCGCACGUCCCGGGAUUGGUGGACGACGAGGCUGAUACGGUCACGUGUGACGCUCGCUCGCCGGGGAAAAGCAUAUGCCGUUUGCGGCAUGCACGUCUGCAGCUUUGACCGGAGAGCUGCUCGCCGGCCGCCGGAGCUGGGCGGCGGUCCGUCCGGCCGGUGGGAAGGACGUACGCGAAACGUAAGCGCGUGCGGCGGUGUAGUGCAAGCGCCUGGCUCCAGAUGCUGACUGCACAUACAAAAGAUGCUGACUGCGAGGCGCUUGCACUAGGAUAAUGGAGAUGGUAUAUACUCCGAAGGCAUGAAGACAGGUAUUUGCUCCAGGAAACUCAAGAUAUGAUGGUUCCGUUUUGGAC